Molecule: ribosomal RNA, 367 nt
Filed under: uncultured Pelotomaculum sp.
Lineage: Bacteria; Bacillati; Bacillota; Clostridia; Eubacteriales; Desulfotomaculaceae
Description: bacterial SSU rRNA
Rfam family: Bacterial small subunit ribosomal RNA
Source: RNAcentral
ACCUCGGGUGACAGGGAGACAGGUGGUGCAUGGUUGUCGUCAGCUCGUGUCGUGAGAUGUUGGGUUAAGUCCCGCAACGAGCGCAACCCCUACGUUUAGUUGCUAACAGGUGAAGCUGAGCACUCUAGACGAACUGCCGUUGACAAAACGGAGGAAGGUGGGGAUGACGUCAAAUCAUCAUGCCCCUUAUGUUCUGGGCUACACACGUGCUACAAUGGCCGGUACAGACGGAGGCGAAGCCGCGAGGCGGAGCAAAUCCGAAAAAGCCGGUCUCAGUUCGGAUUGCAGGCUGCAAUUCGCCUGCAUGAAGUCGGAAUCGCUAGUAAUCGCAGGUCAGCAUACUGCGGUGAAUACGUUCCCGGGCCUU